CCUGGAGACUCCUACGGGAGGCAGCAGUAGGGAAUCUUCCGCAAUGGGCGAAAGCCUGACGGAGCAACGCCGCGUGAGUGAUGAAGGUCUUCGGAUCGUAAAACUCUGUUAUUAGGGAAGAACAUAUGUGUAAGUAACUGUGCACAUCUUGACGGUACCUAAUCAGAAAGCCACGGCUAACUACGUGCCAGCAGCCGCGGUAAUACGUAGGUGGCAAGCGUUAUCCGGAAUUAUUGGGCGUAAAGCGCGCGUAGGCGGUUUUUUAAGUCUGAUGUGAAAGCCCACGGCUCAACCGUGGAGGGUCAUUGGAAACUGGAAAACUUGAGUGCAGAAGAGGAAAGUGGAAUUCCAUGUGUAGCGGUGAAAUGCGCAGAGAUAUGGAGGAACACCAGUGGCGAAGGCGACUUUCUGGUCUGUAACUGACGCUGAUGUGCGAAAGCGUGGGGAUCAAACAGGAUUAGAUACCCUUGUAGUCCAGAAGUG
This 483-nucleotide ribosomal RNA is filed under the name uncultured bacterium. RNAcentral describes it as "bacterial SSU rRNA". It matches the Rfam family "Bacterial small subunit ribosomal RNA", at positions 328 to 804 of the family's 1533-position model. The record is from RNAcentral.